AGGUAGAGGUGCGGCUGAGAUGAGUACCUGUGCAUGGGAUGACCCGUCCGAUGAUGUACAGCGAAAGGUGAUGCCGCCGAAGAAACGUUUUUGGUAAACUCGUUUCUGGCUGCGGGCUGAAUAAGUUUGUGGCUGUCAUCAUGCUUUGAUGGAGAGCUAUCGG
RNAcentral lists this non-coding RNA (163 nucleotides) under Ruminococcus flavefaciens. Its description in RNAcentral is "Lysine riboswitch". It matches the Rfam family "Lysine riboswitch aptamer". Rfam says of the family: Riboswitches are metabolite binding domains within certain messenger RNAs that serve as precision sensors for their corresponding targets. Allosteric rearrangement of mRNA structure is mediated by ligand binding, and this results in modulation of gene expression. The record is from RNAcentral. Lineage: Bacteria; Bacillati; Bacillota; Clostridia; Eubacteriales; Oscillospiraceae. RNAcentral also lists the same sequence under 1 other name.